Molecule: unclassified non-coding RNA, 332 nt
Organism: Prolemur simus (greater bamboo lemur)
Lineage: Eukaryota; Metazoa; Chordata; Mammalia; Primates; Lemuridae
Gene: 7SK
Rfam family: 7SK RNA
About the family: 7SK was discovered as an abundant small nuclear RNA in the mid-70s but a possible function has only recently been suggested. Two independent studies have found that 7SK RNA binds the CDK9/cyclin T complex (known as elongation factor P-TEFb).
Source: Ensembl
GGAUGUGAGGGCGAUCUGGCUGUGACAUCUGUCAACCCAUUGAUUGCCAGGGUUGAUUCGGUUGAUCUGGUUGACUAGGCAGGUGUCCCCUUCCUCCCUUACUGCUCCAUGUGCGUCCCUCCCGAAGCUGCGCAGUGGGUCAAAGAGGACGACCUUCCCCAACAGAGGAGGACCAUUCUUUGGUCAAGGGUAUACGAGUAGCUGCACUCCCCUGCUAGAACCUCCAAACAAGCUCUCAAAUCGUUGCUAUAAACAUCUAUGUAAAACUGAAGGAAGAAUACACAUGAGGGUAGAUCUCUGAAUAUUUGUUGACUAGUUAGAAGAAAAAUUUU